GGGAAACGCCCGGUUACAUUCCGAACCCGGUAGCUAAGCCCUCCAGCGCCGAUGGUACUGCACUCGGGAGGGUGUGGGAGAGUAGGACGCCGCCGGAC
RNAcentral lists this ribosomal RNA (98 nucleotides) under Actinoplanes awajinensis subsp. mycoplanecinus. The record is from RNAcentral. Lineage: Bacteria; Bacillati; Actinomycetota; Actinomycetes; Micromonosporales; Micromonosporaceae.